AGAGACAUUCCACGACCUCCGUCUCACUUAUCACCAGUGAUCAGGAGAAGGUCCGGCUUUUAUUUUGCAGGUCAGUCUGAUAAUUUAAGUGUAAGUGUGUGUGUGUGUUUGUGUUGUUGCAUGUCAUCAUCCUGCCGCAAUGAAAGGAGUGGUUCCCUCGGCAACGAGCCCCGACAACAUCAUAACAGUGCUGAUGAAAAAGGAGUGGCAGUGAGAAUCAGAGGUGCGCUGACCUUUCAUCGCGCGGUGAGAACCGCCGUAGGCGAGGAAAACGGGCCGGCUCGUUGCGUGGUUCUCGCACAUCGCUGCCGGGCAUCUUUCUCUCCAACGAGCUUCACUGUGCAACAAACUGGAUGAACUUCAGCUGCUGGUUUCUUCUCCUACCGCAGCGUCGCUCUCACGUCUUUUCAAGUGUCGGGACCAUCGGGAAUCGUGUGCUGUGACUCAGCUAAGCGAGAUGACUUAAGGUAUUCCCAAAAAUCCCCAGAUGCCGAGCCAAGAAGCUCCAUUGGAAUGAAUGGAAUGGGUUUUUGGGCAGGUGAGAGGACCAUGAGGGCCUUUGUGGCCGGCCAGCAACUUACCUGCUUGGCCGACUCAUGUUUAGGCCUCACUCUUAAAACCUCUGUGGAAUUUUCUAGUUUUUGAUUUUAUUGUCUUUUUAUCCUUUAUUUUUAUUCCUAUAGCCUUCUAUUUUAUUUUAGUAACAUUGUAAAUUUGUAAAUUGACAUGCCAUGUUAUUUGUUUUGUUGUCUAUUGUCUUACUGUCCGUUUGGCACAAACCGCCAUGUCAAAUUCUUUGUAUGUUUAACAUAUUUUGGCAAUAAAUGUUCUUGAUUCCUGAUAUUGCUGGACGCAGACUAACUCACAUUUCACCUGCCAUGACAUCACUUCCUGUCCCACAUCUGUUCCAACAGUCAAUGAACUCAACUUCUCAAAAGUGUCAAUAAAAAUAGGACAGGGCCCUGUGACCAGGGGUCAUGUGACUCACCACGACAAAUGACCAUCUGGUCUCUGGAGACACUCCCACCCAUAACAACGUGCUCCCUAGAGACACGCCCCCAAUUAUCAUUUUGAAAAAACGUGGUUGGUUGUAGUAUGUAAGUGCUGCUUGUGUAGCAUCCACGAGGG
Molecule: long non-coding RNA, 1128 nt
Organism: Gasterosteus aculeatus aculeatus (three-spined stickleback)
Lineage: Eukaryota; Metazoa; Chordata; Actinopteri; Perciformes; Gasterosteidae
Source: Ensembl